ACGUAGGAGGCUAGCGUUAUCCGGAUUUAUUGGGCGUAAAGCGCGUGCAGGCGGUCUAUCAAGUUGGAUGUGAAAGCUCCUGGCUUAACUGGGAGAGGUCGUUCAAAACUGAUAGUCUCGAGAAUAGUAGAGGGAGCUGGAAUUCCGUGUGUAGCGGUGAAAUGCGUAGAUAUCCGGCAGAACACCAAUGGUGAAGGCAGGUCCCGGAAUUAUUACUGACGCUAAGGCGCGAAAGCGAGGGGAUCAAACAG
RNAcentral lists this ribosomal RNA (251 nucleotides) under uncultured prokaryote. RNAcentral's name for it is "partial 16S rRNA". It matches the Rfam family "Bacterial small subunit ribosomal RNA", at positions 525 to 775 of the family's 1533-position model. The record is from RNAcentral.